GGUCCCUAUCCUCUGCAGCCGGAGGAAACUUGAGAAAAUCUGUCCCUAGUACGAGAGGACCGGGAUGGACGCAGCUCUCGUGUGCCAGUUGUCCUGCCAAGGGCAUUGCUGGUUAGCGACCUGCGGACGGGAUAAGCGCUGAAAGCAUCUAAGUGCGAAGCCCUUUUCUAGAUGAGGUUUCCCACUGGGUUAACCAGGUAAGGCCCGUGAUAGACCAACACGUUGAUAGGCCGGAGGUGUACGCGUGGCAACACGUUCAGCCGACCGGUACUAAUCGGCCGAGGGCU
This 287-nucleotide ribosomal RNA is filed under the name Acidimicrobiales bacterium. RNAcentral describes it as "partial 23S ribosomal RNA". It matches the Rfam family "Bacterial large subunit ribosomal RNA", at positions 2633 to 2925 of the family's 2925-position model. The record is from RNAcentral. Lineage: Bacteria; Bacillati; Actinomycetota; Acidimicrobiia; Acidimicrobiales.